Molecule: ribosomal RNA, 103 nt
Filed under: Malassezia globosa CBS 7966
Lineage: Eukaryota; Fungi; Basidiomycota; Malasseziomycetes; Malasseziales; Malasseziaceae
Source: RNAcentral
AUCUGCGGCCACAGAACCGUGAAAGCACCGUAUCCCGUCCGAUCUGCGAAGUUAAGCACGGUAUCGACUAGUUAGUACUGCGGUAUUUUGUUUGUUAUCGAGC